GGCAGUGUGGUUUAGUGGAAAGAGCACUGGACUGGGAAUCAAGAGACCUGAGAUUUAGUCCUGGCUCUUCCA
Molecule: transfer RNA, 72 nt
Filed under: Sus scrofa (pig)
Lineage: Eukaryota; Metazoa; Chordata; Mammalia; Artiodactyla; Suidae
Rfam family: tRNA
About the family: Transfer RNA (tRNA) molecules are approximately 80 nucleotides in length. Their secondary structure includes four short double-helical elements and three loops (D, anti-codon, and T loops).
Source: Rfam by way of RNAcentral